Molecule: ribosomal RNA, 943 nt
Filed under: uncultured archaeon
Lineage: Archaea
Description: bacterial SSU rRNA
Rfam family: Archaeal small subunit ribosomal RNA
Source: RNAcentral
UUCCGGUUGAUCCUGCCGGACCUUACUGCUAUCGGGGUGGGACUAAGACAUGCGAGUCGAGCGUCUCUAGCUAUGUUGAGACGCGGCAGACGGCUCAGUAACACGUGGCUAACCUACCCUCAGGACGAGGACAAACCCGGGAAACUGGGGCUAAUACUCGAUAGGUGAGAAUGUCUGGAAUGAUUUCUCACUCAAAGGACCUUGGAAACAUGCUUCCAUUGUCGCCUGGGGAUGGGGCCGCGUCCGAUCAGGUUGUUGGUGAGGUAAUGGCUCACCAAGCCUAUAACCGGUACGGGCCGUGAGAGCGGUAGCCCGGAGAUGGGUACUGAGACAAGGACCCAGGCCCUACGGGGCGCAGCAGUCGCGAAAACUCCGCAAUGCACGAAAGUGUGACGGGGCUACCCCGAGUGCCAUCCGCUGAGGGUGGCUUUUCCUUGGUAUAACUAGCCGAGGGAAUAAGGAGAGGGCAAGACUGGUGUCAGCCGCCGCGGUAAUACCAGCUCUCCGAGUGGUAGGGAUGAUUAUUGGGCUUAAAGCGUCCGUAGCCGGCUUAGCAAGUCUCCUGUUAAAUUCAGCGACCUAAUCGUUGAGCCGCGGGAGAUACUACUAGGCUAGGAGGCGGGAGAGGUCGACGGUACUUCUGGGGUAGGGGUGAAAUCCUAUAAUCCCGGGAGGACCACCAGUGGCGAAGGCUGUCGACUAGAACGCGCUCGACGGUGAGGGACGAAAGCUGGGGGAGCGAACCGGAUUAGAUACCCGGGUAGUCCCAGCCGUAAACGAUGCGGGCUAGGUGUUGGGGUGGCUACGUGCCACUUCAGUGCCGCAGGGAAGCCAUUAAGCCCGCCGCCUGGGGAGUACGGCCGCAAGGCUGAAACUUAAAGGAAUUGGCGGGGGAGCACCACAAGGCGUGAAGCUUGCGGUUCAAUUGGAAUCAACGCCGGAA